CCAACAAAUUAAGGAGGGAUGGGAUUUCGUGAUAUUCACUAUUUCAACUUGGCGUUGCUCGCCAAACAGGCGUGGCGUCUUCUGGAUAAUCUUGAUUCCUUGUGUGCUUCUAUCCUAAGGGCAAAGUACUACCCUGAUGGUGAUCUGAUGAACUCUAAGCAAAGGAAAGGCUCUUCUUUUACCUUGCAAAGUAUUAUGGCAGGCACAAAUACCCUGAAACGAGGCCAUAUUUGGCGAGUGGGAAACGGACAAAAAAUUAAUAUUUGGGAAGAUGCCUGGAUCCCAAACUGUGCUACUAGGAAAAUUGUAACGCCUAAGGGGUGACAUCUCUUAACUAAGGUAGGUGAUCUCAUUGAUCCUGCCUCCAAUAAUUGGGAUGAGGAAUUAAUUAGACAAACUAUGUGGCCCAUCGAUGUACAACGAAUUCUCUCAGUUCCACUCCCGCAACAUGAUAUGCCAGAUUUCAUUGCUUGGAGUUAUACAAAAAAUGGUAUGUUCUCGGUUUGGUCAGCAUAUUCCGUGGAGUGGGAACACCAGUAUGGAAGCAAAUUAAAAUUCUAA
This 561-nucleotide ribosomal RNA is filed under the name Triticum aestivum (bread wheat). Its description in RNAcentral is "partial small subunit ribosomal RNA". The record is from RNAcentral. Lineage: Eukaryota; Viridiplantae; Streptophyta; Magnoliopsida; Poales; Poaceae.